Capra hircus (goat) is the source of this 164-nucleotide small nuclear RNA. Its record names the gene U1. It matches the Rfam family "U1 spliceosomal RNA". From Rfam's summary of the family: U1 is a small nuclear RNA (snRNA) component of the spliceosome (involved in pre-mRNA splicing). Its 5' end forms complementary base pairs with the 5' splice junction, thus defining the 5' donor site of an intron. The record is from Ensembl. Lineage: Eukaryota; Metazoa; Chordata; Mammalia; Artiodactyla; Bovidae.
GUAUUUACCUGGCAGGGGAGAUACCAUGACCACGAAGGUGGUUUUCCCAGGGCGAGGCUUAUCCAUUGCACUCCGAGUGUGCUGACCCCUGUGAUUUCCCCAAGCGUGGGAAACUCGACUGCAUAAUUUGUGGUAGUGGGGGACUGCGUUCGCCCUUUUCCUGA